UCAGUUUCACGUGCUACUGAGCAGCUUUCCAUAGGAAGCCCUGGGAAAGGAGACAAGAAAAACAACCUUGAAAGAAGAUCAGCAGCAAAGAACACAUGGAAAAGAUAAUGCCACGUAGAUGCAAUGAAGACAGAAAGAGCUUUAAGCCUCAGUAAGGAGCAUAAGCCUGCCCCAGACAAGCAGUGUCUGAAGAUACAGAAGUGCCCUGAACUGAGAUGGAAGAGUCCUAGGAGAGCUGAGGAUCACCUGCUCCGUUGGGAAGAACCAAUACAGACCCGUAGCAUCGCUUUUGUGGCAGAUACCAGCAUGACAACUUGCACACAGUGCCGGGCAAAGCAUGCUCAAGUAGGAGGUGAGUCCUGUGUCCUAGCUGUUCUCCCCAGAUGAAUUAACUCCUCUCCCCAGGGCCAGCAGGCAGCUUUUGCUGCCUUUCUUCAAAAAGCAGUUGGUGCUUAGCUGCAGUUGGAGCCUUUCUUCCUGACCAAGAGAAGGCUGUGGCAUGCUCACCACAUCACCAACAGCUGGCACAGUCAAGCUGGAACGUGGAUUCCUUUUGCUCCAAGAUGCCCAAGCACGUUUCUGGACUUGCAGGUACUUGCUGUUUAAGAACCCAUAACUCAUCUUUGCCCAUGUUCUGACUUGCUGUUUGGGACCAUCUGGGGAUACUGCAACUGGAGCACAAGGAGUAAGUGGCUGGUUUUUCAGAUUGCCCUUCAAAAGAACCAGUCACUGGAGUUUGCAUUCAUUACCCAUCAGUAAACCGUUAUGGGAGGAAAGCAGCAGGCUUAAAGCACAUAAUUCUCACAGCACAUUUGGAUGCACUCUUGUGCUCCUUCUCCAGCAGCCUGUGCUCCCCUCACCCUGGAGCUCUUUCCUGAGGAACAGCCGGGCAUAAAUUCCACAUCACCAACAUGCUGUGUCAUUUCUGCUCUUGGGAAUGAGAUCUGGAGAAAGCCACAGCUAACAAAGACAAUACAACACUUGGUUAAUUUAAGAAUCUCACUUCUUAGCAGACAAAAGGACAGCUCACAUGGCUCCUCAACCCCUGCUUUUCACCCAGGUCCUUGUUGGGAAGAUCACACUGCUGUGCAGCCAGUGCUGAGAGGCAACAGCUGACAGUCACAUUCAUGUCCUAGCUGCAUCACUCCUCUCAUUUCAGCGCAUCACAGCUGGGGAAGGAAGUGUCCUCCUGCUGUUUCCUUCCCUCCCUCCCACUCCCUUUACAAAUUAUGUUCUUGUACCACCUUAAUCUCUCCUUCUUUUUACAGACAUGAUGAAAGUAUAACUCUGACUACUUAGAAUAAUACAUUCUAUUUGCAAGGCUAUAAAUCACUGCCACAAAUCAGUAUGAGUAGCACUAUUAUAAUAUGAAUAAAUAUUGGAAAUUGAAGGUUCCAUCUUCCUUUUCUUCUCCUGCAGGAUGGGGUGACUUGUAGGAGUGCUAUAUAUUCACAGUAUCUCCAGCUAACAUGACCUAAGGUGCUCGUGUGCAUUUUUACACAGACUUCAUCCAUUUACAUAUGCACACAUAUAUCAA
This is a long non-coding RNA of Columba livia (rock pigeon), 1537 nucleotides long. RefSeq lists it as uncharacterized. Lineage: Eukaryota; Metazoa; Chordata; Aves; Columbiformes; Columbidae. The transcript has 3 exons. The record is from RefSeq and is a predicted model, not a curated record.